This 253-nucleotide ribosomal RNA is filed under the name uncultured bacterium. RNAcentral's name for it is "partial 16S ribosomal RNA". It matches the Rfam family "Bacterial small subunit ribosomal RNA", at positions 524 to 776 of the family's 1533-position model. The record is from RNAcentral.
UACGUAGGGUGCGAGCGUUAAUCGGAAUUACUGGGCGUAAAGCGUGCGCAGGCGGUUCGUUGUGUCGGCGGUGAAAGCCCCGGGCUUAACCUGGGAAUGGCCGUUGAAACUGGCGAACUGGAGUGUGGCAGAGGGGGGUGGAAUUCCGGGUGUAGCGGUGGAAUGCGUAGAGAUCCGGAAGAACACCGGUGGCGAAGGCGGCCCGCUGGGCAACUGCUGACACUGAUGCGCGACAGCGUGGGGAGCAAACAGG